Molecule: ribosomal RNA, 251 nt
Filed under: uncultured bacterium
Lineage: Bacteria
Description: partial 16S ribosomal RNA
Rfam family: Bacterial small subunit ribosomal RNA
Source: RNAcentral
UUGGGGAAACCGGCGAACGGGUGAGUAACACGUGAGGAACCUGCCCUGUACACCGGGAUAACUCCGGGAAACCGGGGCUAAUACCGGAUAUGAGCCUUGAUCGCAUGAUCGGGGCUGGAAAGUUUUUCGGUUGAAGAUGACUUCGCGGCCUAUCAGCUUGUUGGUGAGGUAAUGGCUCACCAAGGCGACGACGGGUAGCCGGCCUGAGAGGGCGACCGGCCACACUGGGACUGAGACACGGCCCAGACUCC